Molecule: ribosomal RNA, 305 nt
Filed under: uncultured bacterium
Lineage: Bacteria
Description: partial 16S ribosomal RNA
Rfam family: Bacterial small subunit ribosomal RNA
Source: RNAcentral
ACAGCAGUAGCCGCGGUAAUACGAAGGGUGCAAGCGUUAAUCGGAAUUACUGGGCGUAAAGCGUGCGUAGGUGGUGGUUUAAGUCCGUUGUGAAAGCCCUGGGCUCAACCUGGGAAUUGCAGUGGAUACUGGGUCACUAGAGUGUGGUAGAGGAUAGUGGAAUUUCCGGUGUAGCAGUGAAAUGCGUAGAGAUCGGAAGGAACAUCUGUGGCGAAGGCGACUAUCUGGGCCAACACUGACACUGAGACACGAAAGCGUGGGGAGCAAACAGGAUUAGAUACCCCCGUAGUCCCUGUCUCUUAUAC